RNAcentral lists this ribosomal RNA (253 nucleotides) under uncultured bacterium. RNAcentral describes it as "partial 16S ribosomal RNA". It matches the Rfam family "Bacterial small subunit ribosomal RNA", at positions 524 to 776 of the family's 1533-position model. The record is from RNAcentral.
UACAGAGGUCUCAAGCGUUGUUCGGAUUCAUUGGGCGUAAAGGGCGCGUAGGCGGUGCGGUAAGUCACCUGUGAAAUCUCCUGGCUCAACUGGGAGCUUGCAGGCGAAACUGCCGUGCUGGAGUGUGGGAGAGGUGCGUGGAAUUCCUGGUGUAGCGGUGAAAUGCGUAGAUAUCAGGAGGAACACCUGUGGCGAAAGCGGCUCACUGGACCGCAACUGACGCUGAGGCGCGAAAGCUAGGGGAGCAAACAGG